GCCCUUGUGGCGUAGUGGUAGCGCGUCGCACUUGUAAUGCGAAGGUCUCUAGUUCAAUCCUGGACGGGGGCA
Molecule: transfer RNA, 72 nt
Filed under: Armillaria ostoyae
Lineage: Eukaryota; Fungi; Basidiomycota; Agaricomycetes; Agaricales; Physalacriaceae
Rfam family: tRNA
About the family: Transfer RNA (tRNA) molecules are approximately 80 nucleotides in length. Their secondary structure includes four short double-helical elements and three loops (D, anti-codon, and T loops). Further hydrogen bonds mediate the characteristic L-shaped molecular structure. tRNAs have two regions of fundamental functional importance: the anti-codon, which is responsible for specific mRNA codon recognition, and the 3' end, to which the tRNAs corresponding amino acid is attached (by aminoacyl-tRNA synthetases). tRNAs cope with the degeneracy of the genetic code in two manners: having more than one tRNA (with a specific anti-codon) for a particular amino acid; and 'wobble' base-pairing, i.e. permitting non-standard base-pairing at the 3rd anti-codon position.
Source: RNAcentral